This 274-nucleotide ribosomal RNA is filed under the name uncultured bacterium. RNAcentral describes it as "partial 16S ribosomal RNA". It matches the Rfam family "Bacterial small subunit ribosomal RNA", at positions 523 to 796 of the family's 1533-position model. The record is from RNAcentral.
AUACGGAGGGCGCAAGCGUUGUUCGGAAUCAUUGGGCGUAAAGCGGGUGCAGGCGGUGAAGUAAGUCGGAUGUGAAAUCCCGGGGCCCAACCCCGGAACUGCAUUCGAAACUGCUUCACUAGAGUCCCGGAGAGGAAGGCGGAAUUCCCGGUGUAGAGGUGAAAUUCGUAGAUAUCGGGAGGAACACCAGUGGCGAAGGCGGCCUUCUGGACGGUGCCUGACGCUCAGACCCGAAAGCAUGGGGAGCAAACCGGAUUAGAAACCCCAGUAGUCC